AACGCUGGCGGCGUGCUUACACAUGCUAGUCGAGCGCGAACGCAACUUUCGGGUUGCUAGUAGAGCGGCGCACGGGUGAGUAACACGUGAGUGACCUGCCCAAUGGUUUGGGAUAAGCGCUGGAAACGGCGGCUAAUACUGGAUAAGACUACAUAUUUUUGGUAUGUAGGANAAGCGGGGGACCUUUCGGGGCCUCGCGCCGUUGGAUGGGCUCGCGUCCCAUCAGCUAGUUGGUAGGGUAAUGGCUUACCAAGGCAAAGACGGGUAGCUGGUCUGAGAGGAUGAUCAGCCACACUGGGACUGAGACACGGCCCAGACUCCUACGGGAGGCAGCAGUGGGGAAUAUUGCGCAAUGGGCGAAAGCCUGACGCAGCGACGCCGCGUGGAGGAUGAAGGCCUUCGGGUUGUAAACUUCUGUCAAAUGGGACGAAAGGGUAGUGUUCGAAUAGGACAUGACUCUGACGGUACCUUUAAAGGAAGCACCGGCUAACUCUGUGCCAGCAGCCGCGGUAAGACAGAGGGUGCAAGCGUUGUUCGGAAUUACUGGGCGUAAAGGGCGCGUAGGCGGCUAUGUGUGUCUGAUGUGAAAUCCCUUGUUUCAAGCGAGGAACUGCAUCGGAAACUACGUAGCUUGAGUCUCAGAGGGGGAAGCGGAAUUCCUGGUGUAGAGGUGAAUUCGUAGAGAUCAGGAGGAACACCCGUGGGCAAGGCGGCUUCCUGGCUGAAGACUGACGCUGAG
This 739-nucleotide ribosomal RNA is filed under the name uncultured organism. RNAcentral describes it as "bacterial SSU rRNA". It matches the Rfam family "Bacterial small subunit ribosomal RNA", at positions 32 to 750 of the family's 1533-position model. The record is from RNAcentral.